UUGACCUCGGAUCAGGUAGGGAUACCCGCUGAACUUAAGCAUAUCAAUAAGCGGAGGAAAAGAAACCAACAGGGAUUGCUCUAGUAACGGCGAGUGAAGCAGCAAUAGCUCAAAUUUGAAAUCUGGCGUCUUCGGCGUCCGAGUUGUAAUUUGUAGAGGAUGCUUCUGGGCAGCCACCGACCUAAGUUCCUUGGAACAGGACGUCAUAGAGGGUGAGAAUCCCGUAUGCGGUCGGAAAGGCACCCUACACGUAGCUCCUUCGACGAGUCGAGUUGUUUGGGAAUGCAGCUCUAAAUGGGAGGUAAAUUUCUUCUAAAGCUAAAUAUUGGCCAGAGACCGAUAGCGCACAAGUAGAGUGAUCGAAAGAUGAAAAGCACUUUGGAAAGAGAGUUAAAAAGCACGUGAAAUUGUUGAAAGGGAAGGGAUUGCAACCAGACUUGCUCGCGGUGUUCCGCCGGUCUUCUGACCGGUCUACUCGCCGCGUUGCAGGCCAGCAUCGUCUGGUGCCGCUGGAUAAGACUUGAGGAAUGUAGCUCCCUCGGGAGUGUUAUAGCCUCUUGUGAUGCAGCGAGCGCCGGGCGAGGUCCGCGCUUCGGCUAGGAUGCUGGCGUAA
This 613-nucleotide ribosomal RNA is filed under the name Cladosporium sphaerospermum. RNAcentral's name for it is "eukaryotic LSU rRNA". It matches the Rfam family "Eukaryotic large subunit ribosomal RNA", at positions 1 to 634 of the family's 3401-position model. Lineage: Eukaryota; Fungi; Ascomycota; Dothideomycetes; Cladosporiales; Cladosporiaceae. The record is from RNAcentral.